RNA transcript from Aptenodytes forsteri (emperor penguin), 3575 nucleotides. It is a transcript of the gene named TM2 domain containing 1, with no coding region annotated. The transcript is spliced from 8 exons. NCBI's taxonomy places the organism in Eukaryota, Metazoa, Chordata, Aves, Sphenisciformes, Spheniscidae. The record is from RefSeq and is a predicted model, not a curated record.
AUGUGCGAUGAGCCUAAAAUAGAUAAUAGUACACAAGAACCAAUGAAUUGUACAAAUCACACAGCAUAUGUUCAAUGUCUGCCGGCACCAAAUAUUACUUGCAAAGAUCACCUUGGCAUAGAAAAAGUCUUUACAGGACAUGAAGUUGGAUUUUACAAGCCCAUUGCAUGUCGCAAUGUAAAUGGAUACUCCUACAAAGUGGCAGUGGCUCUGUCCUUGUUUCUUGGAUGGUUGGGAGCAGAUAGAUUUUAUCUAGGCUAUCCUGCAUUAGGUUUGUUAAAGUUCUGCACUGUAGGAUUUUGUGGAAUUGGUAGCCUAAUUGAUUUCAUACUUAUUUCAAUGCAGAUCGUUGGACCUUCCGAUGGCUCUAGUUACAUUAUAGAUUACUAUGGAGCAAGGCUUACACGGCUCACUAUUACCAAUGCAACAUUCAGGAAAAUGCAGACCUAUCCUUAACCCUGGCAAGUCUUCUUCAAAGUUCCUUGGAUUUACCAUGGGGAAAACAUGGCAAGAACACGUAAGAGGAGAUCACUGCCUAUGAAGAACUGACUGAGUGUUCACCUUGAGUCUGACAAGACUGCCCACCAUAUGGAUUGUGUUGGCAGAGGCAGAAGCCUGGGGAAUGCAGAGCCAGGUCCAGCUGCCAUUUUGAUUUCUCUCCACCUUGGUGGCUGUCUCUGGACCUCUGCAGCAUUCAUCCUGCCAUAUGCUAUUGCAGAGUCAUUAGUUACAUAUGACACCUAAGGAAGCCCCAAACCACGGUGUUCUCGGUGACAAUGCAGGAUGCCUGGACCCCUGGUGAUUCUGGCCAAGAAGCAGCACUCCUUGAACCCUUCCCGGCCCCAGCUGCAGCGCAGAUUGGGCUGGAAGCUGCAUCUGCGCCCGUUGGCAAGGUCCCAGCAAAGGGCAGUCGCAGCACCGCCACACCGAGAGCACUGAUGCCAAUCCCCACCGGUGGGAACCCCCCGGAGACGCAGGGAACAGGGGGCAGCAGGAGGCAGCCUUCAUGGAGCUCCUGGAGAUGCAGAUGAAGUGAUGAUGAUUCCCACCUUGUCUGCAGGAACAGCAGUGUGUCAGAGCAUAUUAUUGGUCCGCUACAUCCCGGUGUCUGAAGCAACACGUGGGGCUGCUGUUCCUCCUGCCGCCCACAGAGCUGGUAGCACCUGGAACGUGGCUGAGCCUUCCCUGGACCCCUCUCCCCUGGACCCCAAAGGUCAUUGAAACAAGCACUGCCCGCGGCAACCCUGGGAGCUGAGAUCCAUGGCGUGGCUUGACUUUAGGCUCUACUGCCUUGGGCCAGCUCAGCACUCUCGUCGACGAGCUAAAACCUUGUGUGAUCACAUUACUAUUGCUCCCAUUGCUUUUAAGAGAGCUUGUACAGAACUCUAUUUCUGCAGUUUGCAUGCCCAUAAAAACCAUCCAGAAUACAGUAAGGUGAGGAAGAAACACCAUGAAUUUUCAUCAUAUUGGUAUUUCUGGCACAAUUUACAUUGUGACUAUGUCCCUGAUGAGGAGGAGCAAUAAAUACCCUCUGCAAAGCUCAUAUUGCAAUGGAUGGGAGAGGAAACAGCGACCCGAAGGGUGUCAUAUUCUGGAAACCCGACCUGGAAAGAAGGAUCCACAAUUAACGACAUGGGUGAACAAAGAUGAGACUAUUCUUAAAAGCUAUUGUGCCAAUGGCAGCAAACAAAGCCGGGUGUACGUAGUGGACGGAAGAUAACAAUCCAUUUUGUGCACGUAGUGAGAAAGAUGAAGGCCAACUGUCUCCAGCACACAAAACCUCUGGUUAUCUCAACCAGCUGUUUUCCCAGAGCGGUGUUUGAAGAAACUGGUUUUUAAGGGGUGUGCAUGGGGGUGACUUAGACUGCUGCUCUUGCGAGCUCUGUUCACGUUCUCACUUCCACACAGAGGGCAUGCAGGCCUGCCAUCACUCCUGCCCUGUUUCUGGAGCUGGAUGACCAAACCAUCCUCUUUCAUGUUGCUCAUGCCCCACGAUCCUCUUCCGGUGCAGUGAUGUGGCAGCCUUUAAAGUCCCUUUCCAGUGUACCAUCCAAGAAGAAAUCCCCCAAAUCAUGAACCAGCUGUGCCUCCACUGGUCUGUCUCAUGAUGAGGACUUAGAAAGGGAAUGAAAUAUCUGAGAUGGGCAUAACGGCACAAUGUUGAACUGCUGACCUCAAGAGUUCAAACAUAUUCAUGGCUGCACUACAUAGUGCUUCACGUGUCCACAUGAAUCCCUCACCCUUCCCUGUAGCCAAACCACAGGAGUUUGGCUGGGGCAGCGUCCUGUGGCAGCAGGGAAGGACCCUUGGCUUGACCGGACAGCGAGAAGCUGGAGCUGCACCAGCCGGCAGCGACACAAAGGGAGUUAAAUCAGUCCGGUCCAUUGAAAAGUCAUGAGUCUCACCUCAAAAUCCUUUUCAGAAGUGUAUUUUAUCUGAUUUUCCUUCGUUUCCUGGCUCCAGAGCGUGCAUUUUCAAGCCUUGCUUCUACAGCUGAAAUGAUGAGAAAUUUCCUUUCCUUCAGCGGGAAGCCAGGAGGCUCCCAUCCGCGCAGGACUGCCCGUGCUGCUGCAGCUUUGCAAGUAUCAUCAGGCUGCAAGAUUUCACACCGCCGUCGCCCCUCUGCCUGCCCCAUAGCAAGGGCAGUCAGCAUUUCCAACGGCAUCAGGUGCAAACGCCACUGCAGCCAGCAGCUCUCGCCCUGUGGCACAGGUUCUGCCGCCAGAGCACCCCGAUGCUGCGUCCUCCAUGGGUGGCACAGGGUGUGUGUCGGCUGGGAGGAGAGCUCUCCAUCGCUCAUCCUUUGCCUUUUAAAGAAUUGCCCCAGGCUAUUUUCUCCUCCUUUGCAUCAGACAAUAACUGAGAUAAUUUCAGCCCUUUCCUCCCCUCCCCGUGCCACAGGGAAUGGGAGACCUCACUAGCUUUCCUGCCCCGCGUCCAGGGUGACCAUUCCGAAAUCUCACUGGGGAAAUGCUCUUCCUCUCCAGGAACAUCAGACAUCAUGUUGGAUGUUGCCAUUCAACUGCGCCCACCAGUGCUGCAAGCAGUGGCCAAGCAGCUGCUCCUCUUCCAACCUUCCUUUGGAAAGAAAACAAAAAAACACCCUAAACACCUCCCAAAUGGUGCAAAAAUAUUAAUUAGGAAUAAGAAAAACUUCCCCAAACCCCAACUUGGGGGCUGUAAAGCUGGGGGAUCACAGCCCAGUGACAUGGGCUCUCAACCGGGGAGGCAUCCCAGCUGAGAAAAUGCUGGGAAAAUGCCUUUUUCUUCAUCCAGGUGGGUUGUGGGAGGGCUCCAGCCUGGGGUGCUGAGGGAAGAGGGGACGUUUAGGAAGAUUUACACGUGGGAUCUUUGUAUUGUCCCUCCUGUCCUUUUUCAAUAAGGAAAAUCGGCCCAUUUCCCUGCGUGGAGAAACUGAGGCUGCUUGGCACCCCUGGGGAUGGGGCAAGGGGGGUCGGUGGGUUCCCUGCUAAGCUGCAUGUUUCCUAAAUAAAUAACCACCAUAUGCCCCGUCAGGGUGUUCCUCAAGCCAAAAACCUCCCCUUUGGGGUCCCCUUGGCAUCCCCGGCUGAGCC